RNAcentral lists this ribosomal RNA (2860 nucleotides) under Rubellimicrobium sp. CFH 75288. RNAcentral describes it as "23S ribosomal RNA". It matches the Rfam family "Bacterial large subunit ribosomal RNA". Lineage: Bacteria; Pseudomonadati; Pseudomonadota; Alphaproteobacteria; Rhodobacterales; Roseobacteraceae. The record is from RNAcentral.
UCGGAUCAAGCGCGAGAAGGGCGUUUGGUGGAUGCCUUGGCAGCAAGAGGCGAUGAAGGACGUGAUACCCUGCGAUAAGCUCUGGGGAGCCGGGAAUAGGCUUUGAUCCAGGGAUUUCCGAAUGGGGCAACCCCCCUGACACUCCCUUGCUGUCUGCUCUUGGCAGACAGCAGGAGGGUGGCCCAGGGAUCUUGUGACUGAAUCCAUAGGUUACAAGAGGCGAACCCGGGGAACUGAAACAUCUCAGUACCCGGAGGAAAGGACAUCAACAGAGACUCCGUGAGUAGUGGCGAGCGAAAGCGGACCAGCCGAGCACCGAAGAGGGACCGGAACCGUCUGGAAAGUCGGGCCGGAGCGGGUGACAGCCCCGUACGGGAACCUCCAGGUGACGCAUCAAGUAGGGCGGGACACGUGAAAUCCUGUCUGAAGAUCGGGGGACCACCCUCGAAGGCUAAGUACUCCUUGCUGACCGAUAGCGAACCAGUACCGUGAGGGAAAGGUGAAAAGCACCCCGACGAGGGGAGUGAAACAGUUCCUGAAACCGGACGCCUACAAUCAGUCGGAGCCUCCCAUGUCCUUCGGGACGGGCGGGGUGACGGCGUACCUUUUGUAUAAUGGGUCAUCGACUUGGUCUCACGAGCGAGCUUAAGCCGGUAGGCGGAGGCGGAGCGAAAGCGAGUCUGAACAGGGCGUUCAGUUCGUGGGAUCAGACCCGAAACCGAGUGAUCUAGCCAUGGCCAGGCUGAAGGCUGGGUAACACCAGCUGGAGGGCCGAACCCACACCUGUUGAAAAAGGUCGGGAUGAGCUGUGGCUAGGGGUGAAAGGCUAAUCAAACUCGGAGAUAGCUGGUUCUCUGCGAAAGCUAUUUAGGUAGCGCGUCAGGUGAAUGCCCGCGGGGGUAGAGCACUGGAUGGGUGAUGGGGGCCCACAGCCUUACUGAGCCUAACCAAACUCCGAAUACCGUGGAGCACUGCCUGGCAGACAGACGGCGGGUGCUAACGUCCGUCGUCGAGAGGGAAACAACCCUGACCUCCAGCUAAGGCCCCCAAGUCACGGCUAAGUGGGAAAGCAGGUGGGACGACCAAAACAACCAGGAGGUUGGCUUAGAAGCAGCCAUCCUUUAAAGAUAGCGUAACAGCUCACUGGUCUAGACAAGUUGUCCUGCGGCGAAGAUGUAACGGGGCUCAAGCCGUGCGCCGAAGCUGAGGGUGCAUCGCAAGAUGCGCGGUAGCAGAGCGUGGUGUGACAUCGUCUUUGUCCUUUUGUGCGGGUUUGGUCCCGUGCCGGAGGGUCGAGGCGUUCUGUGAAGCCCGGGCGUGAGCCAUCGGGUGGAGAGAUCACCAGCGAGAAUGAUGACAUGAGUAGCGACAAAGGGGGUGAGAGACCCCCUCGCCGAAAGCCCAAGGGUUCCUGCUUAAAGCUAAUCUGAGCAGGGUGAGCCGACCCCUAAGGCGAGGCCGAGAGGCGUAGCCGAUGGGAAUCCGGUGAAUAAUCCGGAGCCAGGAGGAUGUGACGGAUCGCGGGUGUUGUUGUCCCUUAUCGGAUUGGGGCGGCGGCUGAGCGGUUCCUGGAAAUAGCCCUCCAUCAGAUCGUACCCGAAACCGACACAGGUGGGCUGGUAGAGCAUACCAAGGCGCUUGAGAGAACGACGUCGAAGGAACUCGGCAAAAUGCCUCCGUAAGUUCGCGAGAAGGAGGCCCCGUUCCUGGGCAACCAGGGGCGGGGGGCACAGAAAUGGGGGUGGCGACUGUUUACUAAAAACACAGGGCUGUGCGAAGCCGCAAGGCGACGUAUACAGUCUGACGCCUGCCCGGUGCCGGAAGGUUAAAAGGAGGGGUGCAAGCUCCGAAUUGAAGCCCCGGUAAACGGCGGCCGUAACUAUAACGGUCCUAAGGUAGCGAAAUUCCUUGUCGGGUAAGUUCCGACCUGCACGAAUGGCGUAACGACUUCCCCGCUGUCUCCGACGUCGGCUCAGCGAAAUUGAACUGCCCGUGAAGAUGCGGGCUCCCCGCGGUUAGACGGAAAGACCCCAUGAACCUUUACUCUAGCUUCGCACUGGCACCAGGACUGCGAUGUGCAGGAUAGGCGGUAGGCUUUGAAGCGGGGGCGCCAGCCCUCGUGGAGCCGUCCUUGAGAUACCGCCCUUCGUCGUCUUGGUGUCUAACCGCGGCCCGUGAUCCGGGUCCGGGACCCUGCGUGGUGGGGAGUUUGACUGGGGCGGUCGCCUCCCAAACAGUAACGGAGGCGCGCGAUGGUGGGCUCAGGGCGGUCGGAAAUCGCCCGUUGAGUGCAAUGGCAGAAGCCCGCCUGACUGCGAGACUGACGCGUCGAGCAGAGUCGAAAGACGGCCAUAGUGAUCCGGUGGUCCCGCGUGGAAGGGCCAUCGCUCAACGAAUAAAAGGUACUCUGGGGAUAACAGGCUGAUACUGCCCAAGAGUCCAUAUCGACGGCAGUGUUUGGCACCUCGAUGUCGGCUCAUCUCAUCCUGGGGCUGGAGCAGGUCCCAAGGGUAUGGCUGUUCGCCAUUUAAAGAGGUACGUGAGCUGGGUUUAGAACGUCGUGAGACAGUUCGGUCCCUAUCUUCCGUGGGUGCAGGAGACUUGAGAGGAGUUGCCCCUAGUACGAGAGGACCGGGGUGAACGCACCACUGGUGGACCGGUUGUGGCGCCAGCCGCAGCGCCGGGUGGCUAUGUGCGGACGGGAUAACCGCUGAAGGCAUCUAAGCGGGAAGCCCCCCUCGAAACCAGGUCUCCCUAUCAGGACCGUGGCAGACCACCACGUCGAUAGGCCGGAGAUGCAAGCGCGGCAACGCGUUCAGUUGACCGGUACUAAUCGUCCGAUUGGCUUGAUCCGACCCGG